GAUGAACGCUGGCGGCGUGCCUAAUACAUGCAAGUCGAGCGAACAGACGAGGAGCUUGCUCCUCUGACGUUAGCGGCGGACGGGUGAGUAACACGUGGAUAACCUACCUAUAGGACUGGGAUAACUUCGGGAAACCGGAGCUAAUACCGGAUAAUAUAUUGAACCGCAUGGUUCAAUAGUGAAAGACGGUUUUGCUGUCACUUAUAGAUGGAUCCGCGCCGCAUUAGCUAGUUGGUAAGGUAACGGCUUACCAAGGCAACGAUGCGUAGCCGACCUGAGAGGGUGAUCGGCCACACUGGAACUGAGACACGGUCCAGACUCCUACGGGAGGCAGCAGUAGGGAAUCUUCCGCAAUGGGCGAAAGCCUGGCGGAGCAACGCCGCGUGAGUGAUGAAGGUCUUCGGAUCGUAAAACUCUGUUAUUAGGGAAGAACAAAUGUGUAAGUAACUAUGCACGUCUUGACGGUACCUAAUCAGAAAGCCACGGCUAACUACGUG
This 497-nucleotide ribosomal RNA is filed under the name uncultured bacterium. RNAcentral's name for it is "partial 16S ribosomal RNA". It matches the Rfam family "Bacterial small subunit ribosomal RNA", at positions 28 to 507 of the family's 1533-position model. The record is from RNAcentral.